Molecule: unclassified non-coding RNA, 218 nt
Filed under: soil metagenome
Description: partial contains 5.8S ribosomal RNA, internal transcribed spacer 2, and large subunit ribosomal RNA
Source: RNAcentral
AACGCACGAGACCUGCGGACCUGCGGAAGGAUCAUUACUGAGUUUCACAACUCUCUAACCCUGUGUGAACUGAAGUCUGGUUGCUCAGGCAGGCGGCCCCCGGGGGGGAGCCGCAGCUUCUCUGAAGCGCCUGCCGGAGGAUACCUAAACUCGUUUUAACAUAUAAUCUUCUGAGUAAUAAAAAAAAAAUGAAUCAAAACUUUCAACAAUGGAUCUCU